AGAACUAACAAGGAUCCCCUAGUAACGGCGAGUGAAGCGGGAUGAGCUCAAGCUUAAAAUCUCUGUGCCAGUUUGGCAUGGCGAAUUGUAGUCUAUGGAGGCGAUAUCAGUGCGACUGUUCGGGGUAAGUUCCUUGGAAGAGGACAGCAUCGAGGGUGAUACUCCCGUUUGUACCUGUUCAGUUGCGCGUACGAUACGUUUUCUUUGAGUCGCGUUGUUUGGGAAUGCAGCGCAAAGUAGGUGGUAAAUUCCAUCUAAAGCUAAAUAUUGGUGCGAGACCGAUAGCGAACAAGUACCGUGAGGGAAAGAUGAAAAGAACUUUGAAAAGAGAGUUAAAGAGUACCUGAAACUGCUGAAAGGGAACCGAAUCGUUUCCAGUGUCUAUAAUCCAUGGUAUAUUUCAUUGGUGAGUGAGUGCGUGCAGCGUUUUGGAAGUGGUUUCCGCUCCUGUCGUUGUUGUGCAUUUGCUUGCUGGUGCCCUGUGCUGUGGUGGGACGUCAGAGUCAGUUUGUAUGUUGCGGGAAAUGAUUAUUGGGGAGGUAGGUCGCUUCGGUGGCUGUUAUAUCCUGAUAAUUAGUCGUCGUGGCUGAGACUGAGGUGCCUACAACGUGCUUUCGAGUCUGCGGGUUUCUCGUGUUGCUGUUUGCUUUGAUAGCUUGCUAUGUUGGUGAAUAAGUAGUGCGAUUGAGAUUUGUAGUAACUUGUUGCCGUUCGGGACUUUGAC
This 724-nucleotide ribosomal RNA is filed under the name Pythium sp. AR_100. RNAcentral describes it as "LSU rRNA". It matches the Rfam family "Eukaryotic large subunit ribosomal RNA", at positions 56 to 630 of the family's 3401-position model. The record is from RNAcentral. Lineage: Eukaryota; Oomycota; Peronosporomycetes; Pythiales; Pythiaceae.